This 962-nucleotide long non-coding RNA is filed under the name Homo sapiens (human). RNAcentral describes it as "HSALNT0123620". The record is from RNAcentral. Lineage: Eukaryota; Metazoa; Chordata; Mammalia; Primates; Hominidae.
CCAGAACCCAGAUGGAGGUCCCCCACUUACUCGCAAAGGCUGAAUGACAGCUUGACAGGUGAGUGCGAUGCCCCUCCCCACUCCCAACCUGCCAGGAGUUGUCCUUUCGACAGGGGGAGGGGUCAGUGUGCCUGCAUAUAUUGGGGAAGCAGGGAGCCUGGUAAGCCUCUCUUCACAGCUUCCACUGCAGAGCCUCAUACCUACCUCCAGCCAGAGAAUGCUGCCAUCUCCAUGAAAAAAGCCCAUGUUCGCCAGCUGGAGGAUAAGAUACAACAGGGAGGAGAAGCAAGGUGCCCCUUGUUGACAAUCCCAGAAGCAGAAGCUCAUGCCCAGAAGCACAGCUGCCUAGUUGACAGGCUCAGCUGAGACCAGAAGAAUGGCCCCACCAAGCCCAGCCUAAAUGGCUGACCAUCACAAUUAUGAGCUAAGAAGUUUUGGAUGGUUUGUUAUGCUGUAAGAGCUAACUAAUACGUGCACCCAGUGCAGAUAGGAUGCCAAAAAUUAAUGGCAAGUUGAUUACUAAUUACGUUCUAACAGUGGGCACCCUAAAAGUGCUGACUUUUUUCCCCUGAUUUAAAGUUAGAUGUUUUGUAAUACUGAGAAAUGAAUAAAUACAUGUAGACAUGUGUGCAUGUGAUUGGUGCUUAUACUCACACAUUUCCAUAAACCACAGGAGAAAACAGAUAACCACAGCCUGACCAUUAGGGCCAAGGCCAAAUGGCAAAAUAAGUUUACCUUUAAUCUGUUUUCUCUAUAUUUAUACACUGGAGGUCAAGACUGUGGACAUAUCUGAAGACAUAGAGUUUUCUUCUCCUGUGGACCCAUCAUCCUUUGUUUACUGUCUGAUCUCUGGAACAAAAAUGGAAAACACGUUGGCAGCAGUGGUCUACCUGGGGUUAUUUUAUUUCUGCUGGCCUCUGUUCUUUCUUUUUUUUCUUUCUUUUUUUUGGAGACAGAGUCUU